AUGGCCACCUCAUCGUGUUGUGCUAUAUGUGGAGGUGAGGACUCAUGGAUGCACUCACUUAUCACGUGUAUGGCGAGGUGCGUAUGGGCGUUAAGCGAUCCGGAGCUCGUGGAGCACCUGCUAGCCAUGGCUGAACCGGAUGCAAAAUCAUGGUUAUUUAGUAUGCAGGAAUCAAUGCCCCACGACGAGUUUGUCAAACUGACGUUCACACUUUGGGCUAUCUGGUCGGCGCGCAGGAAGGCAAUAUCAAAUCCGAGGCAAGCUCCUGUUCAGGUACGGGCGUGGAGCACUCCACCUGCGGGCCAUCAUAAGAUAAAUGUAGAUGCAGCCACUUGUAAAAACCCGCAGGUAGGAUCAAUCAGCGCUGUAUGUCGUGAUGAGCAUGGUACUUAUGUUGGCUCUUCGGCAUUGGUCUUUCACGGACUCACGGACCCGACAACAUUAGAAGCUCUUGCUUGCCGGGAAGCCACUGCUUUGGCCAAGGACUUGAUGAUCACUAAAAUUUGUGUGGCCUCGGAUUGCCUCUCUGUUGUCAACGAUAUUCAUACUGGAACUCUUAGGAUUAUUGCACCAAUUGUGAAGGAGAUCAACAAUAUAGCUACAGAUUUCCUCUCCAGCUCUUUUAUUCAUGAAGGACGUCCCUCCAAUAAGGAGGCCCAUAGUUUAGCUAGGCAUGCUUUACAUCUAGAUGAAGGUCGUCAUGUGUGGUUUUUAAACCCUUUUGAUACUUCUAUUAUCCCUGUAUAA
Molecule: ribosomal RNA, 747 nt
Filed under: Triticum aestivum (bread wheat)
Lineage: Eukaryota; Viridiplantae; Streptophyta; Magnoliopsida; Poales; Poaceae
Description: partial small subunit ribosomal RNA
Source: RNAcentral